AAAGGAGUAAAAUCUCCUUGACUCUUGGACUACCAAUGUCAUUGCACUAAUGGACGAUUCUAUCAAUUGCAGGAAAUAACCUAAAUAAUUUUUGAGCAAGAUUGAAACAAAUAUUACAAUAGUCACAAGGCUGAUUCUAAGGAGUGGUUGGUCAUUUCCUUCACUUCUGAAAGCCUUCAGAGAAUGAUUUGCUUUACUUCCUCUACUAGGACAGCCCGGACUUUUGGGAGAAGAUCAGUACCUGGAAGACUUGCUGGGUCUGCACAAGAAAGGAGUCUGGGUCUCUGAAUGAACCUGAGUUGCUGGACUUCCUGGUAAGUGCUGAUUACUCCCUUUGCAUACAGUUUUUUUUUAAAGAUUUCGUUUCAAUUCAAGCUAGUUAACAUAUAUUGUAUUAUUUGUUUCAGUGGUAGAUUUAAGGAUUCAUCACUUGGAUAUAACACCCAGGGCUUAUUACAUCGAGUGCCCUCCUCACCUAAACAUAUGACAUUGUUAGGACAAUGUAGCCUGUAUGCUAACUGAAAUGACCAAGCCUUUUGCACACAGGCAAGUUGUCGAUUAUGAAUGAUGCCAAAGAAAGGCUUUUC
This 587-nucleotide long non-coding RNA is filed under the name Vulpes vulpes (red fox). RNAcentral's name for it is "lncRNA (ENSVVUG00000000697.1)". Lineage: Eukaryota; Metazoa; Chordata; Mammalia; Carnivora; Canidae. The record is from RNAcentral.